Molecule: non-coding RNA, 93 nt
Organism: Lasiosphaeria hispida
Lineage: Eukaryota; Fungi; Ascomycota; Sordariomycetes; Sordariales; Lasiosphaeriaceae
Source: the annotation of a GenBank genome assembly
GCCCGGCUAGCUCAAUCGGUAGAGCGUGAGACUCUUAAGACUCUCGCACAGUCAGGUAUCUCAAGGUUGUGGGUUCGACCCCCACGUCGGGCU